This 85-nucleotide transfer RNA is filed under the name Methanococcus voltae. RNAcentral describes it as "tRNA-Leu". It matches the Rfam family "tRNA". Rfam says of the family: Transfer RNA (tRNA) molecules are approximately 80 nucleotides in length. Their secondary structure includes four short double-helical elements and three loops (D, anti-codon, and T loops). Further hydrogen bonds mediate the characteristic L-shaped molecular structure. tRNAs have two regions of fundamental functional importance: the anti-codon, which is responsible for specific mRNA codon recognition, and the 3' end, to which the tRNAs corresponding amino acid is attached (by aminoacyl-tRNA synthetases). tRNAs cope with the degeneracy of the genetic code in two manners: having more than one tRNA (with a specific anti-codon) for a particular amino acid; and 'wobble' base-pairing, i.e. permitting non-standard base-pairing at the 3rd anti-codon position. RNAcentral also lists the same sequence under 2 other names. Lineage: Archaea; Methanobacteriati; Methanobacteriota; Methanococci; Methanococcales; Methanococcaceae. The record is from RNAcentral.
GCAGGGAUCGCCGAGCCUGGUCAAAGGCGCUGGACUUAAGAUCCAGUCUCGUAGGAGUUCGAGGGUUCAAAUCCCUUUCCCUGCA